This 922-nucleotide ribosomal RNA is filed under the name Diplectanocotyla gracilis. RNAcentral describes it as "eukaryotic LSU rRNA". It matches the Rfam family "Eukaryotic large subunit ribosomal RNA", at positions 36 to 650 of the family's 3401-position model. The record is from RNAcentral. Lineage: Eukaryota; Metazoa; Platyhelminthes; Monogenea; Dactylogyridea; Diplectanidae.
AAGCAUAUCAGUAAGCGGAGGAAAAGAAACUAACCAGGAUUCCCUUAGUAACGGCGAGUGAACAGGGAUUAGCCCAGCACCGAAGCCUAUCUGCGUUUGUGGACAGGGCAAUGUGGUGUUUAGGUGUUUGCCUGGGGUCGUCGUCGCACUCGAAAUCCAGCAUUGAUUAUGGUCUUGGAUGUGGCCCAGAGCGGGUGAAAGACCCUUUCGAGUGUGAUUGCAGACAUGCCGACGGCCCUUAGCUGCAGACUACCUUGGAGUCGGAUAGCUUGAGAAUGCUGUCCAAAGUGGGUGGUAAACUCCAUCCAAGGCUAAAUACUAACACGAAUCCGAUAGUAGACAAGUACCGUGAGGGAAAGUUGAAAAGUACUCUGAAGAGAGAGUAAAUAGUACGUGAAACCGCUUGCAGGGAAGCUGGUGGAGUCAAGCUGCAUGCCUGUGGAGUUCAGCCGGUGACGAUUGGAGAUGACGCUUUGAUGAGUGCUUGGGUUGGCAGUUUCCAUGCUGCUUCAUGCUCGUUGUGGGAUUCUCGCAUGGGCCAAGUACUGUGUUCUGACGUCGCCGGUGUACUCUCCGCAUGGCAGACAUCACGGCCGAUAUGGUUGCUGGUGUGCAGUAGUUAAACCUGUGGUUCGCGGGCUCUCUGGCACGCGGCUGCAGGGAUGGCAGGUGCUUCGGUGUUUCUCCUCUGGAGUGGCAUUGAAGUUAUCGAGGUUGCGACCGGCCGACUACUGUGUGAUUCGUUCAAACCAUGCGACUUAUCGGUGUUAAUGGCUGCGCGCUGCUUUGCGUGCGUGCGCUGAUGGACUCCCGGGUUUGGUGCCUAUGCAAAUAGUGCCUGUCCGGUUGAUGACUGUCGGUGCGCGUUCCGCAUGGCGGUGUGUGUAAGCUGUGGUGUUGUGGUAGACUUUCCACCCGACCC